AGAAUCAACGCUGGCGGCGUGCCUAACACAUGCAAGUCGAACGAGAAAGGGUAGCAAUACCUGAGUAAAGUGGCGCACGGGUGAGUAACACGUGACUAACCUACCUUUUAGUGGGGGAUAACCUAGGGAAACCUGGGCUAAUACCGCAUAAUACCUACGGGUCAAAGCAGCAAUGCGCUGGAAGAGGGGGUCGCGGCCGAUUAGCUAGUUGGCGGGGUAAUGGCCCACCAAGGCAGUGAUCGGUAUCCGGCCUGAGAGGGCGCACGGACACACUGGAACUGAAACACGGUCCAGACUCCUACGGGAGGCAGCAGUGGGGAAUUUGCGCAAUGGGGGAAACCCUGACGCAGCAACGCCGCGUGGAGGAUGAAGACCCUUGGGUCGUAAACUCCUUUCGAUCGGGACGAUAAUGACGGUACCGGAAGAAGAAGCCCCGGCUAACUUCGUGCCAGCAGCCGC
Molecule: ribosomal RNA, 459 nt
Filed under: uncultured bacterium
Lineage: Bacteria
Description: SSU rRNA
Rfam family: Bacterial small subunit ribosomal RNA
Source: RNAcentral